AAUUGUGGCCGUACCUUUUUUGUCCAAUUUUGUCUGACCUGAAAAGCUAAGCAGGACUGGGCCUGGUUAGGACUUGGACAGGAGACAGCUGGGAAUACGAGAUAUCACAGAGG
Molecule: ribosomal RNA, 113 nt
Filed under: Periophthalmus magnuspinnatus
Lineage: Eukaryota; Metazoa; Chordata; Actinopteri; Gobiiformes; Gobiidae
Source: RNAcentral